RNAcentral lists this non-coding RNA (104 nucleotides) under Geosporobacter subterraneus. Its description in RNAcentral is "SAM-I sequence". It matches the Rfam family "SAM riboswitch aptamer (S box leader)". From Rfam's summary of the family: The SAM riboswitch is found upstream of a number of genes which code for proteins involved in methionine or cysteine biosynthesis in Gram-positive bacteria. The SAM riboswitch acts at the level of transcription termination control. Lineage: Bacteria; Bacillati; Bacillota; Clostridia; Peptostreptococcales; Thermotaleaceae. The record is from RNAcentral.
GCCUUAUCAAGAGCGGCGGAGGGGAUAGGCCCUAUGAAGCCCGGCAACCGGUAAUUCUUACGCGGUGCUAAAUCCUACAGAACUUGUAUUCUGGAAGAUGAGGA